UGUACACACCGCCCGUCACACCACGAGAGUUUGUAACACCCGAAGUCGGUGGGGUAACCUUUAUGGAGCCAGCCGCCUAAGGUGGGACAGAUGAUUGGGGUGAAGUCGUAACAAGGUAGCCGUAUCGGAAGGUGCGGCUGGAUCACCUCCUU
RNAcentral lists this ribosomal RNA (152 nucleotides) under cotton phyllosphere bacterium A. RNAcentral describes it as "partial 16S ribosomal RNA". It matches the Rfam family "Bacterial small subunit ribosomal RNA", at positions 1382 to 1532 of the family's 1533-position model. The record is from RNAcentral.